This 447-nucleotide ribosomal RNA is filed under the name uncultured bacterium. RNAcentral describes it as "partial 16S ribosomal RNA". It matches the Rfam family "Bacterial small subunit ribosomal RNA", at positions 29 to 523 of the family's 1533-position model. The record is from RNAcentral.
AACGGACGCUGGCGGCAGGCUUAACACAUGCAAGUCGAACGCCCCGCAAGGGGAGUGGCAGACGGGUGAGUAACGCGUGGGAAUCUACCCAAUUCUCCGGAAUAACCCAGGGAAACUUGGACUAAUACCGUAUACGCCCUACGGGGGAAAGAUUUAUCGGAAUUGGAUGAGCCCGCGUAGGAUUAGCUAGUUGGUGGGGUAAUGGCCUACCAAGGCGACGAUCUUUAGCUGGUCUGAGAGGAUGAUCAGCCACACUGGGACUGAGACACGGCCCAGACUCCUACGGGAGGCAGCAGUGGGGAAUAUUGGACAAUGGGCGCAAGCCUGAUCCAGCCAUGCCGCGUGAGUGAUGAAGGCCUUAGGGUUGUAAAGCUCUUUCAGUGGGGAAGAUAAUGACGGUACCCACAGAAGAAGCCCCGGCUAACUUCGUGCCAGCAGCCGCCGUAA